Molecule: long non-coding RNA, 20033 nt
Filed under: Populus tremula
Lineage: Eukaryota; Viridiplantae; Streptophyta; Magnoliopsida; Malpighiales; Salicaceae
Description: long non-coding RNA (PTRE_LNC000913)
Source: RNAcentral
UUUGAUUAUCAUUGUCACUCAUACAGUACUUCUUGAAGAAAUAACCCAAACACCUCAUCACAAAAGGCACUGAAGCUGUAAUCAAAAGAUAGCGAAAACGCACAGAUUCAUGAGGAGUAACAGCAAAAACCGCAGAUGCAUAGGUUAUCAUCAUUGAAGCUGUAGCAGCCCAUAUUUCAAGAUGGAAAGGGAACCUGUAAGUGAGAGAUAUAAUGACAAGUAUACAAGUGGAGAGAGCCAAAGUGUUUGAUACCACGAAAACAUAGUAAGCACCCGGUUGAGAUGCAUAAAUUGCUGUUCCUGCAACAUGAGUACCAUUUCCUGUAUCUUGCCAGACCCCUCCAGGAGGGUUCACCCCAGCCUGGAAAGUCACUGCUGCAAUCAAGGCCACAACUAUUAGCAAAACAUUUCUAGCAUCGCCUGGUGAGUCUCUGCGUGGAUCAUACUGAAAUUUCUUGAACCAGCUAUGGCUUUUAGUAAUGUUUUUUUUAGGCUGAGACAUUCUUACUUGGGCAAAGAUAUGUGGGAGAUACCCGCACUCUGGCUCUCAAGAGGUUACUUAUAUAGACACACACACACCGAUUCAUGUAAGAAUUUUCAAACUAAUUUAAUGAUCAAUGUUUACCCGCGUCAAUGCAAGUCAAUGACUAUAAGAUUAUAUAAAUCUUGUGUGAAUAGUGAUUAUCAACGUCGAAUAUCUGGGUAUCCAAAUAGCCCCCACCAGGAAAAGAACGGUGGAAAUUUGGAGAAAAGUUAGGCAGACUUGACUCCUUUUCAAGUCUUGGAGUUAUUUCUUACGAUUAUUUGGACCACACGAAAACGAAAGGGGGAAGGAAAGUGAAAAAAAAAAAAAAUAGAAAAAGAAAAGCUGUGUGAGUGCGCAAGAAACCAUCUUUGUUUUCCUCGGCAAUUACACAUUUUAUUUUUUUAUUAAUAUAGAUAUUUGUAUUAGUUUGCAUGUAUCUCAACUAAUCACACGAAUCCUGAAGUUAACAAGUAUAUAAACCUUCAUUAACUCUGAGAAUUGUGAGAUUCGAAUUAAUUAUUUUUAAAGAAUCAGUUGAGCUACACCCUUCAAAGUUAUAUUUUAUUUUUUUCUUCCUUGAGAUAGUUAUUGCAGCUCGAUUUGUUUUUAAUGUUAAAAAGGUAUGGGAAUUAAUAAUAUUUUUAUACUUAUAACUUAUAAGUAAUAGAAUUUUUUUAAAGCAAGACAAAGGUUUGAAUUCAUUAUUAUUCAACCUGCCUUAUCAAAUAAUAGAAUUUUUUUAAAAAAUAAAUGUAAAAUUUGUUGGUUGAGCUACACCCUUUAAAGUUAUAUUUUACUUUUUUCUUCCUUGAGAUAGCUAUUGCAGCUCGAUUUGUUUUUAAUGUUAAAAAAGUAUAAAAAUUAAUAGUAUUUUUAUACUUGCAAGUAAAACUUUUUAAAGCAAGACAAAGGUUUGAAUUCAGUAUUAUUGAAUUGUCUUAUCAAAUUAAUAGAAUUUUGUGACAUUAAGAACAAUAAGUAUUAUUUUUGAAAAGUGACUAAAAAGACAAUUUUCUUUUUCUUUAUUGUUUUGAAGUGAUUUUUUUUUCUUUUUUAGGACUAAAAUCUUAAGAAAGUAAAUUUUUAAAUCAAAAUUAAAAUUGUAAAAGCUUAAAAGACUGCAAAGUAAGUAAAAUGAAAGAAGGUGGGCUAAACAGAACUUUUUGUAAUGAAUUUUAAAUUAUCCAUGUGAUUUUUUAUUGGUUUACUCUUUGGUCUUUUUUUGUUAAAUUUUCUCUUUUCUUAACAAGCUUUAAUAAAUUGGCAUUAAUUUAGGCAUAAAAAACUGCAAUUGAAAAAUAAAAUUUGAGAUGAAAACUGAAAAAAGAAACCUAAUUUAGUUUCUAAUGUAUAUACUCAAUUUUAAUUGGAUCCCAAGCCUAUAAAUUUUAUCACUUUUAUCUUAAAUGUUCUUAACAAUUCUCUUGUGUUAACGUUAAUUAUAUUUUUAAUAAAUCUUCUUAAGAAAAACACCAUUUUAUUACAUAAAAUAUUCCUAUUCGGUGGAAAAUAUUAACAAGAAAAUGAUGGAAGAAGGAUUCUAUUGAGAAAUGUGUGAUUGAGAAGUAUGAUGAGGCUUUUAUUAUUAUUAUUAUUAUUAUUAUUGCUUUGAAGUAUCCAAUCCAACAAUGUCUUAAGCUGACCUAUGGCAUUAGCUUUUGCAUAUAUAUGAUUUCUAAUUAAUUAACCUGCCAACGCUAGCAUUAAUGUUGUUUUAGUGCUUUUUUGUACAUAAAUACUAAUUUUGUAUUCAAAAUAUUAAUUAUAAAAUUAACUAUCAAAUUAAUACCACAAAGAUUGUGCUAUUUUUUAUUUUAGCUUAAAUUGACGUCGACAAAACAAAACCUUAACAACAAAUACAAAUCAUAAUUAAAUAUAAGGAGAGGCCCUUUAACCAAGGUUAUUAAAAUCGCGUUUUGAUUUGUAAAAUCGUACAAGGUUGUUAAAAUCGCGUUUUGACUCGUAAAAUCGUACUAUUUUACGAGUCAAAACAUGUAUUACGGGUUGAAUUGCUUGAAAAAAAUAAAAAAUAGAUAAAAUCGAGUUGAAAUCGAGUAAAAUCAUAAAAAUCAGAUAAAAUAACACAAAAUCACGAUUUCAAGACCGCUUUUGCAAUUUUAACAAAAUAAGGCCAUGAAAGUUUCAAUUGUAAAAUCCCCCCUCUUAAUUCAAUUAUUGACGGGGUGGUUGUAGAUAAUUUAAUACCAAAAAAAGGGAGAGUGUAGGCAGUUUGAAUAUUUCAAAAUAUUCUGUCAUUGGAAGGUGAAUUAAUUAUCACAGCUUCAGCACGCACAUAGAUAUUAAUUUAAAAGAAAGAAAAAAAUAAAACCAAACAGUAACUACAUCUUCAUGCAUAUCGAUGCAGGGCAAGUACUUUAAUGAGGAGAGGCAGACUGCCAAAGCACGCAGCAAGUGGAAAGAAAAUAAAAACCAAAAUAAUAGCGAAAGCGAGUGGAAGGAAGGUGGUUUGGACAUUUACACCACAAAGAGACAAGAAGAGUCUUAAAAGCAGCUUUUAGAGCACGCAUCGUGGCAGCUUUUACACCAAUUUUGCGAUUUUGAUAAAAUAAGGCUCUAAAAAAAAUAUUUUAAAUUUUUUUAUAAUUUUUUUGAGAUUUUUUUAUAUAUUUUAAAAUUUCUUACAAUUUUUUUUCGAUUUUAUAAUCUGUUUUUUUCGCGAUUUUAACAACCUUAUCUUUAACAAUAAUAAAUAUUACGUGUUCAGUAAUUUAUUAAUUUGAAAUAAGUAAUUUAGAAAUCACUCCCGGCUGAUAAUUAAAAUAUUGAAAAAAUAAUUAAUAAAAGAUUACAAGACAAUGAGAGCAAGGCUGCUGCGGAUGGAGGAUUUACAAUGAAAAUAGAAAAAUAAAAAAACCCACAUUAGAGUGGGUUUAGGGGUCUUUAAUUAAUAUUGUAGUCGAAUAUACUUUUUAGAAAUAAAUAAAUAUUAAAAUAUAUUUUUUUAUUAUUUUUUACACCAACACAUUAAAAUUAUAAAAAAUACUAAAAAAUAUUAAUUUUAUAUAGCCUUACAAAUUCUAUUAAGCUAAUACUUCAAUCUUUAUCCAAUAAAAAUGAGAACCAAUCAACUAAUUAUUUUCUGAAUAUGCUAAAACUCUCUUAAUAGAGAUUGACUCGUGUAUUAUUGAGUUCUAAUAAUAUUAUAAUUUUUAUAAAUCCCAUGAAUCACUUUUAAUUUUUGUUAAAUUAUAACUAUUCAGCCAUUUUUUAUUAGCAUUUCUAGAUGUUCAUGAGUGGAGUUCUUUUUUAAAAAACGUACGUCCUAUCACUAAUCAGUUAGACAAUUUUAAUAUAUAUAUAUAUAUAUAUAAAUCCAAUUCAUGGGUGAAGUGUGAUUACCAGUGUCGGGUAUCUGGGUGUCCAAAUAGCCCCACCAGGAGAAGAAAGGUGCAAAUUUGGACUAAAGUUAGACUGAAUUCCAAGUAUCUGUGAUCCAGCUUUAAAACGCUAUGUUUUAAGGAAAACCUAAUUUAUUCUCUAAUUUAUAUAUUCAAUCUUAACUGGAUCUCAAUCAGACCUAUAAAUUUUAUAAAUCUGAUGUCAAAUAUUCUAUAAACAAUUCUUAAUCAGGUUCUUAUGUUAAUAUUAAUUACUUUUUUGAUAUUUGUUUUUCAAAGCAACAUCAUUUUAUUACAUAAAAUAUAUCAAUUCGAUGGGCCAAAAAUUUGAUGGAAGGAGGACUGAUCUAUUGAGAAAUGUGGGAAAAAAGAUUGAGAAAUUACUUGAACAAAAAGCUUAAAUUAACCCAUGGGAGUGAAUUGCUUUUCCUGCAUUCUUUCCUUCUUGCCAGACCCCUCCAGGAGGGUUCACCCCAGCCUGGAAAGUCACCGCUGCGAUCAAGGCCACAACUACUAGCAAAACAUUUCUAGCAUCGCUUGGUGAGUCUCUGUCUGGAUCAUACUGAAAUUUCUUGAACCAGCUAGCGAUCAAGGCCACAACUACUAGCAAAACAUUUCUAGCAUCGCUUGGUGAGUCUCUGUCUGGAUCAUACUGAAAUUUCUUGAACCAGCUAGCGAUCAAGGCCACAACUACUAGCAAAACUAUAGCAGAAUUUAUUUAAUUAUCCCAAUAAAUAAUAGCAUAUGGAUUCAUUAAAUAAAAUUAUCUGAAUUUUAAAAUUUUAAUAUAUAUCCAAUUUAUGUAAGAGUUUCCCAACUAACUAAGUUAUUUAAUGAUUAAUGUUUACCCGAGUCAAUAUAAGUCAAUGAAUUUAAGUUUAUAUAAAUCUUGUGUAAAUAGUGAUUAUCAAUGUCAAUUAUCUGGGUAUCCAAAUAGCCCCACCAGGAGAAAAAAGGUGCACAUUUGGACAAAAGUUAACCAGACUUGACUCCUUUUCAAGUCUUGGAGUUAUUUCUUACAAUUAUCUGCACCACACGAAAAAGAAAGGGGGAAGGAAAAUGAAAUAAAAAAAUAGAAAAAGAAAAGCUGUGUGAGCGUGCAAGAAGCCAUCUUUGUUUUCCUGGACAAUUACACGUUUUGUUUUAUUAAUAUAGAUGUUUGUGCUAGUUUGCACGUAUUUUAAUUAAUCACACGGGUCUUAAAAUUAACAACUAUAUAAAUCUCAAUUGACCUUAAAAUUUAUAAGAUUCAAAUUAAUAAAUUAUAAAGAAUAAAUUUAUGACCUGAUCAGUUGAGCUAAACCUGUCAUAAUUAUAUUUUAUUUUUUUCUUUCUUGACGUAGUUGUUACAGCUCAAUUUGUAUUUAAUGGUAAAAAAGUAUAGGAAUUAAUAAUAUUUUUAUACUUGCAAGUAAAACUUUUUAAAGCAAGUCAAUAUAAGUCAAUGAAUUUAAGAUUAUAUAAAUCUUGUGUGAAUAGUGAUUAUCAAUGUCAAUUAUCUGGGUAUCCAAAUAGCCCCACCAGGAGAAAAAAGCUGCACAUUUGAACAGAAGUUAACCAGACUUGACUCCUUUUCAAGUCUUGGAGUUAUUUCUUACAAUUAUUUGCACCACGCGAAAAUGAAAGGGGGAAGGAAAGUGAAAAAAAAAAAUAGAAAAAGAAAAGUUGUGUGAGUGCGCAAGAAACCAUCUUUGUUUUCCUGGACAAUUACGCAUUUUAUUUUUUUUAUUAUUAUUAAUAUGGAUGUACGUACCAGUUUACAUAUAUUUCAACUAAUCACGUGGAUUUUGAAGUUAACAACUAUAUAAACCUUCAUUAACUUUGAGACUUGUAAGACUCGAAUUGAUGACCUCUAAAAAAUAAAUGCAGGACCUGAUCAGUUGAGCUAUACCCUUUAAAUUUAUAUUUUAUUUUUUUCUUCCUUGAGAUAGUUAUUGCAGCUCGAUUUGUUUUUAAUAUUAAAAAAAAUAUAGGAAUUAAUAAUAUUUUUAUACUUACAAGUAAAACUUUUUAAAACAAGACAAAGGUUUGAAUUCAGUAUUAUUGAACCUGUCUUAUAAAAUUAAUAGAAUUUGGUGACAUCAAGAACAAUAAGUAUUAUCUUUGAAAAGUUAACAAUCAAAUUUUUUUUUAAUUAAAAUUGACUGGAAAGUGUUUUUCGUUGAUCAACUUUUCUAAUGACAAACAAACACAUGAAAGUUUGGAAAACGGUUUCCAGAAAACUACUUUCCGGAAAAUAAACAUGGUCAAUUCCAAGUAUCUGUGAUCCAGCUUUAAAACGCUACGUUUUAAGAAAAACCUAAUUUAUUCUCUAAUUUAUAUAUUCAAUUUUAACUGGAUCUCAAUCAGACCUAUAAAUUUUAUCAAUCUGAUGUCAAAUAUUCUAUAAACAAUUCUUAAUCAGGUUCUUAUGUUAAUAUUAAUUACUUUUUUAAUAUUUUUUUUCAAAGCAACAUCAUUUUAUUACAUAAAAUAUAUCUAUUCGAUGGGCCAAAUAUUUGAUGGAAGGAGGACUGAUCUAUUGAGAAAUGUGGGAAAAAAGAUUGAGAAAUUACUUGAACAAUAAGCUUAAAUUAACCCAUGGGAGUGCUUGUUAUGCUGAUUAAUUAUUCUUAAUAAAAAUUGAGAUAUAUAUUUAUUACUGAUACUGUGAGCUUCACUGUACUGGCAGCAUGCCAGUGGAGAUCAACAUAUAGUAAUUAAUUAAUUGCUUCCAGCAGAGCAGAAUGCCACCAGGUAAUAAAGCUAGCAAUAAAAGAACCAAGAAGAAAAUUUAAGUUAUAGUUAUUAGAAAAGAUAUAUAUAUAUAGGGAGGUUACAGGGUUGAACUUUAUUUUUUUACGCUGUUAUAAUCAACGCUUAUAGCAAUAUCAGAAGCAAAAAAAUAAAAUAAAAUAAAGAAAGAAUCAAACAUAAAAUUCAGCAUGAUGAACGCGGAUGUUAAAAUAGAACCAGCUCCAAUGCUGCGCAGGAGCAGUAUUUUGAACCAUUACUUUGGUAAUGGUAAUCUUAGACGGCUAAUUAUCUUGGACGGCGACCUGCAUGCGGAGGCUACCACCCAUAUGACCAACCGUAUUACAAUAGGCGCUGGAGCAGCGACGAAGAUGAGGCGAAAGGACACUGAUUCGUAAGGUGUAAUACAAUAUAUCCCAGAACUGUAAGUGCCCAUCAUAGAAACUGUAGCAAUCAAGACUUCCAAGAAAUAAGGGUAACCGAAGGUUAGACAUAAUAAGAGAAAAAUGGAGGACGUUAGUGCAAUGGUGUUGAAUAUCAGGAAGAUUUGGAAAGGAACUUUCUGGUCAGAAUAAACAGCAUGUCCAGCUCUAUGUCCCUGAUUAUCAUCGCUUUGCCAAACUCCACCAGGUGGGGUGAUUCCUGCUUGGAAGGUCACCGUCGCGAUCAGCGCCGCCCCGACUAGCAUAACAUUUCGGAAGUCAUCACCGGUUGUCUUUGUUUUACAUGGCGGGAUUGUUGGCAAUAUAAUAGCUUUUAAGGGGUUGAUUUGGGUUUUGUCAUCAGUACUUCCCAUAUUUCACUAGGAAUUGUAAGAGUAGUGAUUUUUUCGUCCCGUCUUUCACUCAAACUCAGCAAAACAAGGCUCGAAUAAAUUAAUAACAAGAACGGGAACGGUGCAUUUGAUUUUCAUUCAAGUAAAGAAAGGUUCUCUUCCAUGAAAUUCACCUGGGAAUACUUCUUGGUGGAGUGUUGAAAUCAUUCAAGAAAGGUAUAAGAUGCUGAAACAGCUAGCCAAACGGGAAGUGCUGUUUUUUUAUUUAUUUUUAUCUCCUUUUCCUUCUGGUGUUCAGUACUUUAGAAUUAAGAGGGGCCGAAAGUGCCUGGUGAUUAAUACAUUGAAAAUAAAAUUCGAGUUAUAAAGUACAUGAUUUCAAAAAAACAAAAAAGAUUUUCAAAUUUAAAUGUAACAAGUUCUAUUCGAAGAAGAUUUGGCUCAGCGUAUAACGGGAAGAAAUGGGUUUGGUGUUUUUUACUUUUAAAUUUAUAAUUUUUAUUAGAUUAGAAGAAUGACGGAAGAAUUCGAGGGAAAAAGUUAAAUUGCUAGCUUUAUUUCCAUAUCUCUGAUUUUGCGCGCGAGGAUGAUUAUUUUAUUCAAGAAGCGUCAUGCAUGAUUUCAUCAUUUCCGUUGCCAUGAUGUAUAUAGCACACCGUCAGUUCUGUGACAUCAGCUUUGAGAAAUGGCAAAAUGGCAAAUUACAACAUUUGUUUUUUUGCAAAAAGAAAAUCAUCAAUAUUAGGGGAUGAAUUCCGUUCUUAUCCAGAAUAGCAACUCCAACUCACCUAGGUUGGUUUUUUUUUUUUUUUUUUUUACCAACAGGUGCGUGGCUCAAGUGGUUGAAGGGGGCUGCUCUCCUUCUUUCGAACUCGAGUCCCAAUAGGAGUGGCGUUGGAGAGUUUUGUUCCUCUCCUAUUUCUCUUGGAUCCUCCCUGUACGGUAUGCAUGUCACUCCCGCAGUGCCUUACUUGUUCACUGAGCGUGCAGGAUGUUCAGUGGGCCGUGGGAAUAGUCGUGGUGCGCGCAAGCUGGCCGGGACACCCACGAUAAUAAUAAAAAAAAGGUUUUUUUUUUCUUUUUACACCAUUUCAAAUUCGAGUUUUAUAAUUAUUAAUAUAAUAGUCAUUAAAAAUUUAUAAAAUCAUUAAUUUCAAAAUUUAUAGGAUUAUUCGAGGCACACACAAUUUGAAUCAAACACUCCCAUUAAUUAAAAAAAUAAAUUUAUAUAAUUAUUUAAUCUAAUGAAUAAUAGAUAUCAUAUAUUAAAAAACACAAUUUAAAACUUAACUCAGUGGGUAUAUAUUUAGAUUUUAACUUCAACCUGAAAAUGCAUUGACUAAUAAAAUCAGGUUGCCAGGUUUUUAAUUAUUUGGUUAAUAUAAACAAACCUGGUUCAACUUUUAGGAUUUUUUUAAUAAAAAUUUAUAAUUAACUUUUCUUCAUAAUUUCACCGAAUCAAUCAAGAAUUACAAAUUAAUGACUUGUACUUGUCCCUUGCUAGAUGCGCUUAAUUACAAUUUUAUCUGCUAAUCAAUCUACGAAUAGAAGGAAUGAUUGGCAAUAAUUUUGUUCAAUUCUUGCAUAAAAAAACUGCCAACCGAAAUUUUUUUUGGAAAUUAUUAAUUCAAAAGGGAAAAAAUAUGGCUAAUAUUAUCACAGCCAACAAUAUUUAUAAACGAAAUUACAUUCUGCCGUCUGGAAAGAAGAAGAAAGGAGAAGCAAACAUUCAGCACCUCAUCUUACUGAUAUGGGUUCUUUCCUUCCACAUCCGAUCUUUUUUAACCAUUCAUUGGGCACUGGGUGGUAAAAUACAGCGGAAAACACCCAAAUAAGAACCCUUAUUACUAUAGGUACAGGAGCGGCGAGGAAGAUGAGACGAAACGACACUGAUUCGUAAGGUGUAACACUAUAUAUCGCAGAACCAUAAGUGCCCAUCAUAGAAAUUGUAGCAAUGAAAACUUCCAAGAAAUAAGGGUACCUAAAGGUUAGACAUAAUAGUAGAAAACUGGAGGAUGUCAGUGCAAUAGUGUUACAUAGCAGGAAAAUUUGGAAAGGUAUUCUCUGAUCAGAAUAAAUAGCACGUCCGGCUUUAUGUCCCAGCUUAUCAUCACUUUGCCAAACUCCACCGGGUGGACAAAUUCCAGCUUGGAAGGUCACGGUGGCGAUCAGCACAGCCCCGGCCAGCAAAACAUUUCGGAUAUCAUGAGGUUCUGGCUUUACAUCUGGUGGCGUUAUUGGUUUUGAGAUAGAUUUGAAGCAGACCUUGAUUUUGCUUUUGAUUCUAGUACUAGUAGUAUUUUUAGGGUGAUUUUCCAUAUCUCUCAGGUGAAGUUAUGGUUCCUUUCUUCUGUUAACAUUGCAACUCAAAGGGCCAAGAGGUUUAAAUAUUUUUCUUAAAGAGAAGGGGAAUAACGCACUUGAUUUUCAUUCAAGUAAGAAAGAUUCAGUCCCCUGCGAGUCUCUGGCACCAUUAAAUCUGGAUAGGAGUACUUUUGGUAGAGUACUGAAUUCAUUUAAGAAAGGUAUAAGAUCCUGAAACAGCCAAGCAGGCAGUACUGUUAUGCCUUCUCUCUUUUUUUUUCUUCCCCUUUUUGUGGUAUUCAGUAAUUUGAAAUGAAAAUGUGAAAGUGAUCUGAACCAUAAAGGGAGAAAACCUGGUUAGGAGUAUAUAAAUUUGGUGUCUUCCCAAUUUUCCAUUAAAUCACUUGACGGAAAGAUUUUGUAAAAGAAGGGAAGGGGGAUUUUUCGAAACUUCGGAACAGGGAGCAGAAGGCAUGACUGUAAAAUGGUAUUUAUGGAUAACAAAAGCUACGAGAAGCCUUAGGAUUGCAUGCACAUUGUUUAACACUUCUUUUUAGGCUACACAUUUGAUAGGAGAAAUCAAAGGAAAAGGUUAAAUUGAUGCUUUUAUUCCCAUAUUUUGCACAUUAAGCACGAUUAUUUUAUUCAAGAAGCAUGAUGGGGCUUCAUUUUGAUUGCAUCCAAUCCAACAACUAAUGUCUUAGGAUUAAUUAUGUCAUCAGCUUUUGCUUUGUAACUUCAAUCAUGCUACAGUCCUUUUGUUGCGAAAGGAUGGAUAUUAGGGCAUCCAUACUAACCUAAAUGUAGAUGCUAGAUGGCGAGUGACUUGUCAACUGUUUUUAUACAAUAUAAAGCUAGCAAGCUGCCCGAAUAGCCACGUUAAUUAAAAAGAAAAAAUUGCAACUAGAAAGGCAUAGAGAAAUUGACGAACUGAAUUGAUUAACCUGCAAUAAGCUAGAGGACACGGAUGUAGGAGAGGUGAAGAGUCCUACUAAUCGAUCUGCAUGCAAUCGGGGGGAAUCAUAAUUUGCCUUGCAUUUGACCUUAAUGCUUUUUUCAGAAAGGGGUGUAUACUUGAUAUACAGAUUAUUAUUGUGCAGAUUGCCUUAAUUUAAGCUAGUGCAGUGGCCCGUAUCAGUUUUUCCUUUCAAUUUUAUAAACCAGGAUGCAAAUUUAUUAGGGAAAAAAAACACAUCAAAGAAGAUAGUCUAGAGGUAGAGGAUACAGAAAAUACAACCCAGGAAAACAAGAGAUACAAGAAUGAGAAAGAAGAAAAAAACCAGCCUGGCCAAGGACAAAUUAGAAAUGAACCAGCUUAUGUUGGCCUUGCUCGCAGCUCUUACAUCUACACACUUUGGCCUGUUUCCCCACCUAUUUCUUCAUCUUUCUGACAUUUAUUACUGCAUUUCUUAAGCAUCUGAAUCAAAAACCUUGUGAUAAAAGGCACUGAAGCUGUAAUCAAGAGAUAGCAAAAAUGCACAGAUUCGUGAGGGGUAACAGCAAAAAUUGCAGAAGCAUAAGUUACCAUCAUUGAAGCUGUGGCAACCCAAAUUUCAAAGUGGAAAGGGAACUUGUAAGUGAGAGAAGUGAUAACAAGUAAUGACGCGGAGAAAGCCAAAGUGUUUGACAUCAAGAAAACAUAGUAAGGAUGUUUUUGAGACGCAUAAAUUGCUCUGCCAGCUGCAUGAUGUUCUUGAACGUUAUCAUCCUGCCAGAGUCCACCAGGAGGAUUUACCCCAGCUUGGAAGGUCACUGCAGCAAUCAGUGUGGCAAUCACCAGCAAAGCAUUCCGUGCAUCAUUUGGUGAGUCCCUUUCUUUAUCAUAUUGAAAUCUCUUGAACCAGCUAAUGCUUCUCUCGGUAUUUUGAGGGUGUACUUGAGCCAUUUUUGUCCAAGCAGCAACUUAUGAUGCCAAACACUUUAAUGAGUACCUUUAAAUAAGCUAGAUGCAUACAAUGAGUCCAAGACAUUACCUUAAUUUUUUAUUAAAAAAUUCAAAACAUUAAUUUGCAGAAAAUAAUACCUAUAAUGAUUGGAGCAUAGUUAUAGAAUAUGUAUGGUAUGGUAACUUGUUAAGCUCGAGCUCUGAACAUAUUUAAAAAAUAACUUUGUUAAACUUGAUUGAUUUGGUUGAACUCAGACAAGAUUUAAUUAACUUAAUUCUAGGAAUUUUUGUUAUUAUUUUAUCUAAAAUGAUAUAUUUUUAUUUUUUGAAAAAAAAUUAAAUUUGUUUUAAGAUUGAUCCAACAAAUUAAUUCACAAUCGAUAAAGUCUAAUAAGUAUGGAUUGAAAUAGAAAAAGAACCGGUAACUCUCUAUCAACCGGUUUAAUAUUUAAUUGUGUAUAUACACAAUUAAAUAUCAAACCGGUUCCAACCUCGUGACAAAUUGAUCUCCUUUCUGCAAUCCCGAAUCACAGCUUUCAACCUUGACAUUGAUAUGAAUGCAUGUUUUCACAUGCAAGUUUCAACUCCCCGAAGAUGUGAGAUUCCUAACUCUUGUCCUUGUUGCUACCCAAUUUUUUACCCAUGUUUUGAUAUAUUUUUAAAAAAUCCAAAAAAUUAAGAAAAACAAAGAAAAUCCAAAAAAUAUGUUUUUUUAAUAUAUUUUCGUCAUUUUAGCAUUUUCAACGUCGUCUAAAAAAGAAUUUAAAUUGUUAAAAGAUUUUCAAACGCGUUCGACUUUUCACGCGUCAUUUUUAAAUCAUUGAUUUUCCGCAUUUGAGUCGACGUUGAUAUUGCUCGUUUUCAAAAAAUAAGAAAAAUCAAAAUUUACAAAAAAAAAAGAAGUUGAGGGACCAAGUUGAAAAACCUAACAAAAGUUUUCCUAUAAAUACCAUGCUAAACUGAUUUUUCAAGGGGGGGCAAUUUUGACAACUUCAAAAAAAAAAUACAAAACCUAACCCUAAACCCAUUUUUUCAAGACAAGCCGCCCCCCCCCGGUUUGAAAUUUUUUGAACCUCCAGCCGUUGCUCCUUCUCGCCCCGACCUUGGCCUUUGAUUUUUGGAGAUCAGCCAAACAGCAGCAGAUGAUUUUUUGAAUUUUUUCUUCCCCAAAAACAGUCGGACUCCAGUCUCCUCUUCCCCGACGAUCGUUCCCUUCACCCGACUCUCCCAAAACCAGAGAAAACCAAAGGAUCGGCACCUUUCCCCCUCAAAAUCAGCCCCACAGACUAGCCAAACAGCAGCCCCCGCACCUUUUGAAUUUUUUUCUCUUCUCACUCAAUCGGCGCAGCCCCCUUCCCCGGUGUAUAUAUUUCUUUUUUUUUCUCUUCACUUUUCCCCGCUGCACCACCAUCUCCAUCAACGCCGGCCUCCACCUUGACAACCGCCAAACUAGCUGCCAGGUCCACCGUAGCUUCAACAGGUCCAGUUCAACCCCGCACCGGACAAAGACCAGCGCCAGCCGCCUGCUUCCCCUUCCCCGAUCUGUUCAUCUCCAUCAACCCGAAGCCUUCGCCCUCAGCACCAGCUUCUCCUCUCAUCGCCGAACACGGCGACACCACCUUCCAGCCAGCAGGCCACGGUCUCCCUCACCAGCAUAGACGCGACGAAGCUUCGUUCAUCGGCCACCAGCAGCGCCGUCCACAUCCGGCCACCGAUCCACCAUCAACCAGCCGCCGCCUAACCACCUGCAGCAGAGAAGAAGAUGGCGAAGCCCAAAAAACAGAUCCAGCACCGGAGGAGGAGAGAACGGAAAUGAGCAGAUCCGGUGAAGAGAGAAAGAACAGAUCUGAAAAAAAACUAAGAAAAAAUCGAAACCAACAGCUUGGUUUGCGUCUUUUUUGUUGUUUGCAGGUGGUUUUGUUUCCUAACAACCAGCAAGGAAGGGAAGAGAAGAAGAAAGCAGGCCAGAUCCAGUUGUUUCCGGGCAUUUUCUGGGCGGCGCGUGGUCCCACGCGCCGCCAGUGACGGUGGCGCAUGGAGGGGACGCGCCGCCACUGUUCACAUGUUCAGAAACCUUCCUCAGCACUGCAUGCGGUUCCAAAAAAGCUUCACCGACACUGUUAUUGGAUUUUGUGGAGGGGGUUUUAUUUUGUAAUUUUUGAAUUGUUCAAUAUUUUUGAAUUGUUUAACGUAUUGUUUUUUUAUUUAUUUAUUUUGAAUUUUGGUGAUUUGUAAGAUGUUAAUGGUAUGGAAUUGUGUAUAUAUGUAAAAGAAAAGAAAAAAGAAAAACAAAAACAAAAACAAAAAAUAGUGAAAGUGUACCUGUGUGUUUUUUUUAUAUUUGUUUUAUGAGUGUUUUAUUUAUUUUUUUAUUUAUGAAAAAAUUGCAAAGAUUAAAGAAGAAUUUAAUAUUUUGAUUGGAUCACGGUUAAGAAUUAUUAACUUAUACGUAAGUAAUAUUUCUAAUUUCCGAUGAAAAGACAAUUAUUAAAACUUCUUUAACACGUCAAAGCCACGAAGCAGUUUACCUCAGGUAGGGUGCGUUAGGGGUGUUAAUACCUUCCCUAACCACAACUAGUCCCUUACCCGCGCAUCUCUGACAAGACCAGUACAUCCGGUUUCCUAGUAGCCCGAAAUCAAUUACUAGGUGGCGACUCCAACGAACCAAAUUCAAAACAAAUACAACGAGAAAAUCGCCAGCCAAUGCCGCGCGUUGAAUGUUUUUGGGGUGCGACAGUCCUAAUCUGUCCAACGAAGUGAAAAAUAAGACCAAGACCCGCAUUAACCGGUAGCAUUCAUUAGCGAACUCUCUCUGGGCCCUCUCUCUUGCAUUUCUGAAAAAAUAGGCUGCCUUAAGAAAAGUUAGAGGAUUUCUCCUUCAUGCCCUUGCUCGCCCAACGCUAAAGCCCUUCCUUCCGUUCCUGAUGAAACUACUCAUCCUUAGAGAUGCUCCACAGAUGUGGAAUAACAUAUUCUUUAAUCGACGGUAAUUCCGCAAAGAGAGGAGCUUAACGCCCUGUUUCAUGGAUGGUCUUUGUAUUCUUUAAACACUACAUAUCUCGUCCUUGCAUGUCACCUAACAUCCUUUAGGAAUCUUCCUAUCUAUUGACUUCAAAAUUUCAAGCUAUAUAGCUCAACUGGCAGGAGGGUUCCGGCCCUCCCCUCGAGAGAUAUCGCGCCUCUCCUUUGUAAUAACAAUACAUGAAAACUUUAAAAUUUCAAUGCUGGAGGUGUGCACACAGAAUAUUAACUUCAGAAACAUGUCAACAGUCACGGAUCACCUUCCCUGAGAUUUGGACAGUUUUCUUUGUAGUAAUUAAUAAUCACUUCGUCAAUAACUAAGUGUUCGUAAAUAUUAAUGCAGCGACCCAAACAUGUCUUUCGGCUGAUCGAUUAUUGAAAUGCCGGCUUGCUGGUUUGGUUGAUGGGCCUUAAUUUAGAAAGGAGACUUGUACAGGUCUUGAAAGCGUACACGAGGAAGAAAGCUUCGUUGGUUUUGUGCGUCCUCCCUUACUGUGUGAAAUGAACAUUUUUUUCCCGUAUUUUUUUUUUUAACUAACUACACAAUUCAUGGAAGGUACAAAACCAAAUGUCAAAAACAGGCUGUAUGGCUAAAUAUAAUAUAUGUUGGAGUUUUGACUUGGCGUAUUUAGGAAUUAAAUUUUCUUGAAUGUUGGUUACAAAGUUUAGAUAAAAGAAAAAUUCAAGAGUGAUUAUCAAACUAUUUACUGAUUUAACUUAAUUUAGAUAAACUACAUUAAUUUUUUUUGAAUAAAACUAGAAAUGAAUUAUUACAAACUUUAAUACAUUACAUUGAAUUUAGUUGCUAAGUUUUAAAUAGUCUAAACUCAGGCUUAUAAUUAGUCCAGUAACAUCCGAGUAACUCACCAAAUCAACUCAAAAACCGUGUGACUUGACAAAACCUGGAUGAGACCCGACCUUUUGUUUUUAUAUAUUUAAAAAAAAACCCAAAAAAUAUAAAGCUAAUUUAUGAAUAUUUAGCAUGAUAUAUUUUUUUUAUAGUCUACAUUCCUAUGAAAUAUUUUUUAAUUUUUUCAUGUGAGAUAACUAUAUAUAUAUAUAUAUAUAUAUAUAUAUAUAUAUAUAAUGUUUAUUAACUUUUAAAUGUGGGAUAACUAUAUACUCUUCAUUCACAUAGAUUAUUUCUAAAUUAUUUUAUAGGAUAACUAUAUAUAUAGACUAUAUACACAAGUAAUGUUUCUUUUAAUUUUUUCAUGUAGGAUAACUAUAUAUAUAGCUCAUAUCCACAUAAAAUUUUUUUUUAACUUUUUAAUAAGGAAUAUUAAAAUCUUAUUUUUUUUUAUUUUUUUAAGUUAACUAGGGUUAAAUCUGUAUGCCUUAGACUCCACUUCUUGGUAUUAAAAACUGAAUUGAGUUGCUGGUUAAUUCAAUGAUGGAUCUUGGGAAUUACUAUAUUUUUAUUAUACAGUUGUUUGCCUCCUGGAAAUUUUCUGCCGUUUCAACAAUAUUGCCUUUGGAAAAAGUGCUAAUCUUACAUCUACAUCCCUUAGCGAGUGUUCCUCACGCCUGUCUUCUUGUUGCGAGACUUGUUUGCUCGAGUACAUACAGUAUGAUUCAAGGAGUGAUCAAGAUUUCCAAUAUUAGAAAGUACUUUCUCAUAUCACCUGCCCAAGUUUUUGCAAACUAGUAGAACAAACAGUAUGCUGAGGAGUCUUUCAGUCCGCAGAACAAAUUUAUUAAGCCUCGAUUCGUUUGUUUGUUUGCAGUAAAGUAAAUUUUUUUUAAAAAAUAAAUUUUAGAAAAAGUAAAUUUUUAGAAAGUAAAUUUCAGAAAAGUAUUUUAUGAUGUUUGGUAGUAUUAUGAAAAACACUUUACAGUAUUUGAUUGUAUUAUGAAAAAUAAACUGAAAAAUAAUUUAUUAAUAAAUUAAUUUUUUUAAAAAUUUAUCUAAUAUAUAUAAAAUAUUUAAUCACUUACAAUAAAAAAAAUAAAAUCUAAAAUGUAUAAUAAUGAAUUUUUUUUAUUAUAUUCUAUAUUCAUACAUAGCUUAUUUUAUAAAAUAUAACUAUAUAUAUCAUAUUAUAUUAUAAAGAAAUAAGCUUGUGAAAUAUUUUUUAUUAUUCAAUGAAACCAUUUAUAAUUCCAUUACAUACGAAAUACAUCCAACAAAAACUAUAGUUUUAAUAAUAAUUUUAGCAUGUAAUAAAAUUAGAUAAAAUAUUAAGGUAUAAAAUUCACUCUAAACUAUUUUUUUUAAAAUGUUAAAAAUAUAGCACACUAAAAAAACAAAAAAAAAAUUACCGCAGGCAAGUGAACAGAACUGCACUGUUCACUAUUUUUUAAGUGAACAGUAUAUACAUUGUUCAUGUUAAUUGCACUAUUCAUAAAAACAUGAAAAAGCAAUAGUGAACAGAACUGCACUGUUCACUAUUUUUUAAGUGAACAGUGUAUGCAAUACACUGUUCAUAAAAACAUGAAAAAGCAAUAUUGGCCGACAUCAAGAAGGUCUUUUUCAAUAAUAAAAAAUGAAAACACUUUCCUUAAACUUAACAUUUUCUUUUUAUCGGAAUUGAAUUUUUUUUAACUUACUUUGUAUGUAUUUGUCAAACAUAAAAAAGUAAGGAAAAUAAUUUCCAGGAAAGUGGUUUACGAAAACAAACGGGCCUUAAAUGGUGUUUGAAAGCGCCAUGCUGAUAUUGUUGAGUUCAAGCAACAGUUCGUCGACUCAACAACUCUGUAUUUAAGGAAAAAGAUCACAGCACAGCAGCCCUCAACACAGCUUCCCUUCCAUGACAAACCUUAGCAAAGGGAUGUCAAAGAUCUUAGAUGAGGCAUCGUAUUAGUUUUUUUAAGGGACAUGUAAGUUCUUGAUUCUUCUUUAGUGAUGGAAAUUUGAAUUUCUUGGAUUUGGUUUCUGGGAAUUUGUUGGUUCUUGCUCUGGUUUUAAACAAAGUUAGAAUCUUGAAAUUCUGGAAAUCGACACACACACACACACACCCAUUGGAUUCGCAAUUCUCUAGUGCUCAAGGAAAAUUGAAGUUCUUUGAUUUCCUUGUCGAGGAUUUAUUUUCUUUAAAUCGCUUCUCUUGAUUUGACUUUUCUCAAUUAUCUGCAUCUUCAUGGUCAUUUAAUUUCUGUCUUAUGAUCCUAUGAUCUGAGUUUGGAACUCAAUAAACCCAGAUAGGAGAAGUUUGGUUCUUUGAAGUUUUUUUGAUUAAGGAAGUUCUUGGUUUAUUUCUGUAAAGUGGCACUUUUUUUUUCCAGCCAUGUGACUCCCUAUCCUGAACUUUCAGCUAGCCCAGCUAGCCACUUUAAAGUUUAAAUGCAUGUGAUGUUGAUGUAUCACAAGUUCAUCCAGGUGGUAAUUUAAAACCUGUAUCUGUGAAAAAUGCCUCUCAAGGUUUCCUACUAUGGCAAUUACCUUCAAAUAGUAAAACUCAUCUUUGAUUCCUGACUCCUGUCUUGUGAUUUUCAGGUAUUACAACAAUGCUUACCAUGCAAGAGUUGGAGGGAUUAGCACGAUUGAGAUGAACUAUCUAGAAGUGGAUUUUCUAUUUGGAUUAGGCUUCAAUUUAAACGUGACUCCAAACACCUUCCACACUUACUGCUCCUACCUUCAGAGAGAGAUGAUGCAACAACCUUCUCUGAAUUUAGCUGAAUCUUCAUUGAACUUGGGGAGAUCACUAAAAGUUCACCUGUGCUUCAAUGAAGAUGAGACAUCCCAUCAACAACAGCAACUUGCUGUUUAAGCUACAGCUUGUUUAAUUAUAAUCCCUGGAAAAUGUAGUUAGUUAUAGAGAUAGUGGAAAAAAGUGCUAAUCUUACAUAGGCUAUCAUCAUUGAGGCUGUAGCGACCCAUAUUUCAAGAUGGAAAGGGAUCCAGCUGUAAGUGAGAGACGUAACGACAAGCAUACUUUGUCUACGCGGCUGCGGCUGCGUUUUAGUAAUAAAAAAAAGUAAUUUACUGUGCAUGGGAUCCACAUGCUUUUUGCGUUUAAAACGCUGAAAAGGAAAAGCUACCGAAACAUGUUUUUCAUUCUUUUCGGGUUAAUAAAAAAUAAAGAACAGUGCAAUUCUCAUGCACUAUUCACAGUGAAUUGCACUGUUCACGUGAACAGUGCAAGUGAAGUUUUUUUUAUUUUUUUUAUUAUUAUAAUAAUGUGUUAAUACUUAAUUGUAUUGAUUUCAAAAAAAAAAAAAAAAACUUGUUUAGAGAAUUAAAUUAAUUCGGGAUGCAGAGUGAAUUAAAUUCACUCGCACAGUAAUAUCAAUUUUGUAGUUUUUAUCGAAUGAAUUUUGCACGUAAUGAAAUUAUAAAUUGUUUAAUAGAAUAAUAAAAAAUAUUUUAUAUAAAGUAUUAUUUUUUUCAUGAUGUAAUAGGAGUAAUUAAUUUUACAAUAUUUAAAUUUAAAACCAUCAAUAUUAAUAUAUAUAUAUAUAUAUAUUUUAAUUAAUUUAUAACCUUAAUUUCAAAAGCAUUCUUAACCAAACACAUUAAACUACUUUUUUUUCAACCUCAAUUUCAACCACAAUUUUAACCAAACACCUAUUUUUUCAAAUCAACCUCAACUAAAAAUACUUUUUAUAAAACAAUUUUUUUCAAACCACAACUACAACAGCUACCGCAAUGUCAAACACACUCGAUCAUCGUACUGAAAUCUCUUGAACCAGCCAGCACUCUUUUAUUAUUGUUUCUAUCAGGUUGAGACAUUUUCAACUAAAUCAUUCAGUAACUACAAUUAAUUAACUGGCUCCUUAAUUCAUUUUGAGUUUCAACCGACAGUUCCUCAAUCACUUUUACUAAUUUUCCAUUCAGAAAUCUUAAUUAUAACUAUCAAAAUAAUACCACAAAAAAUUGCGAUUUCUUUUUUAUUUUAGCUUAAAUUGAUGUUAACAAAACAAAACCCUAACAAUAAUAAAGAUUAUGUGUUCAGUAAUUUACUAAAUUAAAGCGAGUGAUUCAAAAAUACUGAUCCCUACUGCUGAUAAUUAAAAAAUAUAUAAAAAAAAACAGAAAAAUCUUUAUUAACUCACAACAACACGUGAUGAUACCUGGCUAGGUAUCACUUGAUAGAAAAGACUACAAGAGCUGACAAUAAGAGCAAGGCUGCCACAACUGGAGGACUUACAACGGAAUUAGAAAUAAAAAUUAAGUCCACAUUAGCGCAUGGGCUUUACCUACUCUUGUUGACCUUCUUGCCCUUCCCUGUUGUCUCCUUCUUCCUGACUUCCUCUUUGAUUCUCAUUCUCACUCGUACAGUACUUCUUGAAGAAAUAAUUCAAACACCUCAUCACAAAAGGCACUGAAGCUGUAAUCAAAAGAUAGCGAAAAUGCACAGAUUCACGAGGAGUAACAGCAAUAACCGCAGAUGCAUAGGUUAUCAUCAUUGAAGCUGUAGCAACCCAUAUUUCAAGAUGGAAAGGGAACCUGUAAGUGAGAGAUAUAAUGACAAGUAUACAAGUGGAGAG